UGGGCUACAUAGUGCUAUUUUUAUUUCUCUAUUUCCUUUUGACUCCAUAUCUAAUUUUCAUUCUUGGUAUGGGCAAAAAAAAAAAAAAAAAAGCCAAGAAAACGCAAUAAAUGGACUAAUUUCACUUUACCACCAUAGUCUUGCCUCACUGCUCCACUUGAGUGUGGUUUACGGUAAGUGACGUGACUCACUUUACUGUCUCUUACGGUAAUUGGUACGUUACGUCACUCAUGUUCUGGCUGGCCAUCACCAGAGAGACGCCUGGCUCACUUACGGCAUUUGUCCUGCUGUGUCCGUCCUCUUGACACGCAAACUGUCUCAGCCUUUCAAGUAAGUACAGGAAUAAUCUUCACUGAUGGAGUGAUGCGGCCUUGUUCAGAGUCACUGCCGAGCUGCUAUCAGCCCACACCGCGCUGACCUUUGCACCCACUCAGCUUUACAGCGGCCGCACAGACAGUGGAAACCUCUAGCCCGGUGGGCUUGAAGUGUCCCCGGUGUUUGCUGCUGCCCUGCUCCCUGCGUGAGGUCCGCACACUUCCUGACUGCGCGACCUCUGAACCCAUCACUGCCCUCCACCCUCAACUCAACAGGAGCCACAGCUAAAGAUUUUCCCACCAGAUUGCUCGGAGUGACGGCUGCGGUCUUGAAACGCUCCACCCCACCACCACCAACCCCCCAUCUCUUGGGACUCUGGAUGGAGGAAUGUGGCAGGCUUUGGAAGAAGAUGAGCCUGCAGCUCAACGCCCUCCUCCCUCCCAGCACUCCCUGUCUGCUCGCCCUCUCCUAGUCACGCACAGCUAAUCCCAGGCAUCUACUGAGUACUGACCGUAUCUGCUGAUACUGCGUGGGAAGCUGGCUGAGGAUGGGAUAUUGAAGGAGGACAUCUGUUUGGGCACCAAGGCCACCACGCAGCGCUCAGACACCUGGAAGACAAAGUCAACCUACCGCCUUGGUGCACUGCACGUCCUUUCCCAGCAGCCAGUGCAGCUCCAGGUUCCCCUCUCCCUGGUAGCAGGACUGCAGCCGCUCCUUGAUGCGUGUAUUGAUGUCUUGGAUGGUGAAGACGCAGAGAGCGGAGUGAUCCGGGGGGUCGUGGCACUGCUUCUGUCCCUUGGAGAACACGGCGAAGAGCACGUCCUCCUGGGCGCUGAUGUUAAGCGACUUUGCCAGAACCCUGCCGGCCUUGGAUAGAGGCGGAUGAUGCGGGAAGUGUAAAACAGGUCGCCAGGUGAGCCGCCAGCGGGCAUCCCGUUCUCGGGCGUCUCCGGCUGGACAGUCAUAAAGUAGACGAAGCUGCCGCUGGCGAAGCCGUAGAU
This is a long non-coding RNA of Sebastes umbrosus (honeycomb rockfish), 1316 nucleotides long. RefSeq lists it as uncharacterized. Lineage: Eukaryota; Metazoa; Chordata; Actinopteri; Perciformes; Sebastidae. The transcript has 7 exons. The record is from RefSeq and is a predicted model, not a curated record.